UACGAAGGGGGCUAGCGUUGCUCGGAAUCACUGGGCGUAAAGCGCACGUAGGCGGCUUCUUAAGUCAGGGGUGAAAUCCUGGAGCUCAACUCCAGAACUGCCUUCGAUACUGGGGAGCUCGAGUCCGGGAGAGGUGAGUGGAACUGCGAGUGUAGAGGUGAAAUUCGUAGAUAUUCGCAAGAACACCAGUGGCGAAGGCGGCUCACUGGCCCGGAACUGACGCUGAGGUGCGAAAGCGUGGGGAGCAAACAGG
Molecule: ribosomal RNA, 253 nt
Filed under: uncultured bacterium
Lineage: Bacteria
Description: partial 16S ribosomal RNA
Rfam family: Bacterial small subunit ribosomal RNA
Source: RNAcentral